RNAcentral lists this ribosomal RNA (443 nucleotides) under uncultured bacterium. RNAcentral's name for it is "partial 16S ribosomal RNA". It matches the Rfam family "Bacterial small subunit ribosomal RNA", at positions 338 to 795 of the family's 1533-position model. The record is from RNAcentral.
CCUAUGGGUGGCAGCAGUGGGGAAUAUUGGGCAAUGGGCGCAAGCCUGACCCAGCAACGCCGCGUGAAGGAAGAAGGCUUUCGGGUUGUAAACUUCUUUUCUCAGGGACGAAGCAAGUGACGGUACCUGAGGAAUAAGCCACGGCUAACUACGUGCCAGCAGCCGCGGUAAUACGUAGGUGGCAAGCGUUAUCCGGCUUUACUGGGUGUAAAGGGGGAGUAGGCGGGAUUGCAAGUCAGAUGUGAAAACCACGGGCUCAACCUGUGGCCUGCAUUUGAAACUGUAGUUCUUGAGUGCUGGAGAGGCAGACGGAAUUCCUAGUGUAGCGGUAAAAUGCGUAGAGAUUAGGAGGAACACCAGUGGCGAAGGCGAUCUGCUGGACAGCAACUGACGCUGAGGCGCGAAAGCGUGGGGAGCAAACAGGAUUAGAUACCCGUGUAGUC